ACGGAAGGCAGCAGUGGGGAAUAUUGCACAAUGGGCGAAAGCCUGAUGCAGCGACGCCGCGUGAGUGAAGAAGUAUCUCGGUAUGUAAAGCUCUAUCAGCAGGGAAGAAAAUGACGGUACCUGACUAAGAAGCCCCGGCUAACUACGUGCCAGCAGCCGCGGUAAUACGUAGGGGGCAAGCGUUAUCCGGAUUUACUGGGUGUAAAGGGAGCGUAGACGGUUUGGCAAGUCUGAAGUGAAAUGCGGGGGCUCAACUCCUGAACUGCUUUGGAAACUGUCGAACUAGAGUGCAGGAGAGGUAAGUGGAAUUCCUAGUGUAGCGGUGAAAUGCGUAGAUAUUAGGAGGAACACCAGUGACGAAGGCGGCUUACUGGACUGUAACUGACGUUGAGGCUCGAAAGCGUGGGGAGCAAACAGGAUUAGAUACCCUGGUA
This 434-nucleotide ribosomal RNA is filed under the name uncultured Lachnospiraceae bacterium. RNAcentral's name for it is "partial 16S ribosomal RNA". It matches the Rfam family "Bacterial small subunit ribosomal RNA", at positions 341 to 792 of the family's 1533-position model. The record is from RNAcentral. Lineage: Bacteria; Bacillati; Bacillota; Clostridia; Lachnospirales; Lachnospiraceae.